RNA transcript from Daphnia pulex (common water flea), 4521 nucleotides. RefSeq lists it as uncharacterized. The record is from RefSeq and is a predicted model, not a curated record. The transcript has 10 exons. NCBI's taxonomy places the organism in Eukaryota, Metazoa, Arthropoda, Branchiopoda, Diplostraca, Daphniidae.
AGUGCACUUCGUGGCUCGGCUUAGGCUUCCAGCAUCUUUCCGUCUCUCUCGCUCUCGCAAACGGGCAGAGACCAACCACCAAACAACAACAACAACCUGGGGAUCGCUGCACCCUGCAACUUUUCGUUUUUCAAUAGCAUCGGCAGAUAUUGUCCAAGCACCUGACUUCCAAGUGCUGAUUUGUUCUUUCCCCCCUCUGGGCUCGUCUGGACAACGGGUAGCCUCGACUUUUGUGACUGGGGAACAGCGCAGUCAUCGCCAGUCGGUUUCCAGGAUCAGUACGGUUCAAAACCAAUUCCGCAUUCCAUCGUAUUUAUUUUUUUUCGAUUUUUCAAAUCGGUUUUGCGACCAAAUUGUGUUGACCAACGCUCGCAACAAGAUGAGGUUCUUCUGGCUCGGCUGCUUCCUCUUCACCUUGUUGAGCAAUUCGAGCAACGGAGGAAUUCUACGCCAAACACUCGGAGAACCUGAAGGACCACCUGUGGGAGAGUCCGGAUUCCAGCUGAAUAAGAGGUCGGAACCGCAGCCACCUUCAACUCAUGGCAUCAACAUCAAAGCGCCGGCCCCACCGCCGCCCGGUGAAGGACCGCAACCGCCAGCCGCACCGGAUCCUUAUUUGUUGGAAAUAUUUGAAAAAAGUCCAGAGACGUUUCCGGCCGCCUACAUCCAGUGGCAGGAGCAGCAGCAACAAGAGCAAGGACAGGACAACGAAAGAGAAGGACGAUCGGCGAAUAGCAAAAGAAUUACCUACGAUCAAUUUGUGACAGCCGCCGUCGUCGCCCGUUUGGAUCUCCAGCGCUCAGUUUACACCAUGUUCGCACCGUCCGACGCUUAUUUGAACAGCCUCGGCGUUUCGCUAUCAGCCGUGGCUCUCAAAGACCCCGAAUGUGUCGGCCAAAUCGUGCGAUCUCACACCGUCCUCGGUCGAGUGACGCUCUCUGACAGGAUGGAAGACGUGGCCAUGUCACUAGAGGACUCACCCGUGUUCAUCUGCGCCAAAGAAGCCAACGGGGUGGAAGUGUUGCGAGCCAACAUUGAAACCGAUUACGGAGUCGUGCACAUCAUCGACGGCCUGAUGGAUCGUCCUCGCUUGAUGGAUUUCUGCCCGUCUCUGAGACAGCGGUUAUCGUCCCCCGAAGGCCAGCAGCAGCAGCAGCAGCCAGUCGAAAACGUUAUAACCAAUCACAGUAUUAGCCUCCGAAAAGUGUCCGACCAAGAUCUGCUGGCCAGUUUGCAGUACGACCCGUCCAACGAAAUCGACCACAACGCAUUCGAUGUCGUCGUCGUGCCGUUCCCCAAAGAGACAUACCCUUCACCGGAGGCCAACAUUCCGCUGGAGCUGUUAGUCAACAUCGACAACUUCGCGCACGCUGUGAAACUAACUUGGCAAACCGAGGACAAUGUAAUAGCCACUCUGCAGAGUUUGGGAGCGUCGACAUUUCUGGCGCUGCUGGAGCGCAGCGGCUUGAUGGAUACGCUCACCCGUCAAGGCCCGUGGACGGUGUUCGCACCUGAUAACGAGGCGUGGCAGGCGCUGCCGAAGGAGAUCUUCGACCAUAUUGUCAGCGACCCGGUUCUGCUCAGACAAAUCCUCACCUACCACGUCGUCCAGGCCAAUGCGACCAGGGUGCAGCUCAUCAACGACGAGAAGCUGCCGUCGCUCUACGAUAGCCGACCCAUCCACAUCAAUUUCUACACGGACGGAUGGGCCAGCUGGUACACUGCUUCUGGCAGCCAGAUAUCGGACCUGGAUGAACUGGCGUCUAAUGGAGUCGUUCACGUCGUCAAGUCCGUUCUUCUUCCGCCUCUGGGUGAUUUCUACUCGGUUGUCAAAUGGACGCCGGCUUUACAAACAGCUUUUUCGAUGUUGGAGAGCGUCUCCAAUCCUGCUUUUACCAACAAUUCCGUAUCUUUGACGGCUUUCCUACCGGUCGAUAGCCCAGUGCUGGACGCUUUACUAGUCGGCUCAAGCCCGUCUGAUGUAGCAGACAUAUUGAGGCGCCAUGUCGUUCGCGGCACAUGGUUCACUUCGGGCUUGAUUGAUGGCGAUCGCUUGUUCACCUUCGACGAUCAGGUCCUGACAGUGCGCCGCGACGCGGAUUGUGUAGGAAUCAACGGAGCCUGCAUCGCCGUUCGAGACAUCACCUUGACCAAUGGCGUUCUGCACGUCGUCGACAAUCUAAUACUAUGAAAAAUCUGAUCGAUAGCGUGAUCGCUUUUUCGAUUGUAGGCCACCUAUUACCGUGUGGCUCUAAGCCACGUUUGUGCUUUCCGUGUCGCUCAUGCAGGUCGCUUUUCUUUUAAGUCCAAAUAGUCGGCUGAUUUUCAAAAUGAUUGAAUUGGAUAGAAAAAAAAACAUCAAAAGUAUCGGACGAGCGCUCCGAGCGCUAUAUACUCUGAUUUGAAUGUGUGUUACGCAAGUUGAUGUGUACCCGUUUCCGCGCGCAACUUGACCGUCGGGCUUUCCAUUCGGUUCAACUGACUGUGAGUAACGCAAAGUUUUCGCUUGGGCAGAAAUGAUCAAUUUCAAAAAGGAACAAAAGACUUGGACCGUGCUCUUUUCAUCCGCCACGUCCUAGUCGAUUAUUUAAGAAACAAGCGGGAGCAGUGGUGCACGCAGGCGAGUUGAUUGCAUAGUGAAGCGCACUAUCGCGAUUGGCGAAGAAUAUUACAAAAAUAUGCACUGGCGCAAUAUCCAUCCAGCAGCAGUUCAAUAAUAAAAAAACAAAACAAAAAACAAAAAACAAAAAAAAAAAGACUUGUGAAGCAAAGUGAAGCUGUACAAUUUCUUUAUGAGUCGCCUGGUGGGAGAUUUAAAUUCAAGGAGGGACCUUCGGCUCUAUAUGGAAUUUCGCUGUCGUGAAAUCGGCAAUAACCUGCUUGUAUACACACGGCCAGCAGACUUUCCAUUUAAACUCAUCUUUUUUGAAAAUAGGAUGAACAAGAAACAAAACAAAAUAUUUAUGCAGACUUUCCUUCUGCGCAAAAGGCUGAAAUCUUAAACAACAAGCUAACAGUUUAAGUAUAGAGAAACCAAAUUUGUGUCUAUAUGGGUUUGUUUUUUUCGCAUCGCGUGCCACUGGCAGUUUAUUAUACAUUUCACCGCGUGAUGAUUGCCAUACGAGGAGGUGCCGGUGUGGCGGCAGGUCCCCCUUGGUCAUAAACAUUAACUGUUUGCACUUUGCUUGAAGUGUUUAAAGUUAAAAUAUUCUUGAAUUUGGUUGUUCGCCCACAGACAAAGUUGUGAGGUACAAAAAACAAAAACAGGCCUGAUCUGUAUUCAUUUGACAAAUACAAAACGUCGAUGUCAAACUGGGACAACUCGCUAGAAAAGAACAAAGAAGACGACACCGGUAAAAGUAAGUUGGCGACCGCGGUCGUGAAUUAAAAGAGAAGGUAUACGCUAAAUAACCAGGAGGUGCCUGUGCCCGUGUGGCGGCAGAUUCCUUUUGGUCAUCGAAAUGUUCUCGUUGCACUUUGCUUGAAGUGUCAAGUGUUCAAAGUUAAAAGAAUCGGAUUGUUUACCCACAAGACAAAGUUGUGAGAUACGAAAAAACAAAACCGGGCCUGAUCUGCAGUCGUUUUACAAAUACUGUAUAAGCAACCACUUCCAUUGGUUUUUUAAUGGACCCUAACUGAGUCAACAAAAACGGCAAGAGAAAACAAUUCCAGAUAAUCGCCUAGCUCAGGGAUAAUCGUAUACUAUCUAACGAUUUAUAACCGACACCACCAAACAGUCAAAAAGGAAGGACAGAGAUAAAUGUUUCCUACCUUUAUGCACGGGAAAUACAGCCAGGCAUCCACAAGUGCUCCGUUUGCUGAAAAGUUGAAUCCACCAGGCGAGAAAAAGGUUGUCCUGGAUCCUCGUGUCGCACACACAUAGGUGUGCACGAGAACAAAGGGUAUUUAAAGAAAAGGGAAGAAGAGAUUCGUAACUCGUCGAGAAUCGGUUGUUUUUACCAUCUAACAGGGUGUUGUUUAUCUGAAGAAAUAAAAAAAAAUGGGUUACGAAACAUAUUUGCAGAAACAACAAUAAUAAGUAAAUAAAAAUUUGAAAAUGAGACAGUGACAAACAUUAAUUGUUAAAAAACAGGAGAAUUUGAGUUUCCCAUGUAACAUCUAGCAGGUCACAUGGUCACAAGUAAAUGAAAGUAACGAAAAUCAUUACCCAAGUGAUGAUUCUGAGAUUGCUGUUGAUGAAAGGUCAAUACCAGAACAAAAAAGUUCUGUUGUUACGAUGGCUGGCUCAGGCCUCAAAUCUGCAAAAAGGAGAAAAUUACAUAUUAGUGCAAACAAACUGUCGUGCAUUGACAGGGGGCAUACAUAACACAUGCUAGUCAGGAACUAACAUUUCACAUGAACAGGUUUAACUCUGGUUUAGCUCGAAUAAUCAUUCUAUUUGUAAUCUACCUGCUGCUUUUAUUUACCUGCUAAACAUCAUGGAAUGUGCAUUAAGAGAUUCUAUGAACACGCGACUCAGGACUCACGACACAGCGACACACUCUCGUCCAGAGUUGACUC